AUUGAACGCUGGCGGCAGGCCUAACACAUGCAAGUCGAGCGGAUGACGGGAGCUUGCUCCUUGAUUCAGCGGCGGACGGGUGAGUAAUGCCUAGGAAUCUGCCUGGUAGUGGGGGACAACGUUUCGAAAGGAACGCUAAUACCGCAUACGUCCUACGGGAGAAAGCAGGGGACCUUCGGGCCUUGCGCUAUCAGAUGAGCCUAGGUCGGAUUAGCUAGUUGGUGAGGUAAUGGCUCACCAAGGCGACGAUCCGUAACUGGUCUGAGAGGAUGAUCAGUCACACUGGAACUGAGACACGGUCCAGACUCCUAAGGGAGGCAGCAGUGGGGAAUAUUGGACAAUGGGCGAAAGCCUGAUCCAGCCAUGCCGCGUGUGUGAAGAAGGUCUUCGGAUUGUAAAGCACUUUAAGUUGGGAGGAAGGGCAGUAAGUUAAUACCUUGCUGUUUUGACGUUACCGACAGAAUAAGCACCGGCUAACUCUGUGCCAGCCGCCGCUGUAA
This 500-nucleotide ribosomal RNA is filed under the name uncultured bacterium. RNAcentral describes it as "partial 16S ribosomal RNA". It matches the Rfam family "Bacterial small subunit ribosomal RNA", at positions 30 to 523 of the family's 1533-position model. The record is from RNAcentral.